This 23-nucleotide microRNA is filed under the name Tribolium castaneum (red flour beetle). Its description in RNAcentral is "tca-miR-11625b-3p". The record is from miRBase by way of RNAcentral. Lineage: Eukaryota; Metazoa; Arthropoda; Insecta; Coleoptera; Tenebrionidae.
UAAUACUGCUAAUGUUUCCUGUG